CCUACGGGUGGCUGCAGUGGGGAAUAUUGGACAAUGGGCGAAAGCCUGAUCCAGCAAUACCGCGUGUGUGAAGAAGGCCUGAGGGUUGUAAAGCACUUUCAAUGGGAAGGAAUACCUACCGGCUAAUACCCGGUAGACUGACAUUACCCAUACAAGAAGCACCGGCUAACUCCGUGCCAGCAGCCGCGGUAAUACGGAGGGUGCAAUCGUGAAUCGGAAUUACUGGGCGUAAAGCGGUUCUAGGAGGCUUGAAAGCCCUGGGCUUAACCUGGGAACUGCAUUUGAUACUGGCAGGCUAGAGUUUAGUAGAGGGGAGUGGAAUUUCAGGUGUAGCGGUGAAAUGCGUAGAGAUCUGAAGGAACACCAGUGGCGAAGGCGGCUCCCUGGACUAAAACUGACGCUGAGGUACGAAAGCGUGGGUAGCAAACAGGAUUAGAUACCCGUGUAGUC
RNAcentral lists this ribosomal RNA (450 nucleotides) under uncultured bacterium. RNAcentral describes it as "partial 16S ribosomal RNA". It matches the Rfam family "Bacterial small subunit ribosomal RNA", at positions 338 to 795 of the family's 1533-position model. The record is from RNAcentral.